This 233-nucleotide ribosomal RNA is filed under the name uncultured bacterium. RNAcentral describes it as "partial 16S ribosomal RNA". It matches the Rfam family "Bacterial small subunit ribosomal RNA", at positions 524 to 758 of the family's 1533-position model. The record is from RNAcentral.
UACAGGGGUGCAAACGUUGCUCGGAAUCAUUGGGCGUAAGCGCACGUAGGCGGAUUGUUAAGUCGGGGUGAAUCCUGAGGCUCAACCUCAGAACUGCCUUCGAUACUGGCAAUCUCGAGUCCGGAAGAGGUUGGUGGAACAGCUAGUGUAGAGGUGAAAUUCGUAGAUAAUUAGCUAGAACACCAGUGGCGAAGGCGGCCACUGGUCCGGUACUGACGCUGAGGUGGACGAAA